This 2383-nucleotide long non-coding RNA is filed under the name Equus caballus (horse). RNAcentral describes it as "lncRNA (ENSECAG00000046922.1)". Lineage: Eukaryota; Metazoa; Chordata; Mammalia; Perissodactyla; Equidae. The record is from RNAcentral.
ACCGCCAAAGUUGAGAACCAUUGCGUAGUUAGGGCCACCUACCCUUGACCAAUGGUGGUUAGAACUGGUGGAUAAAUACAUCUCUUGGGGGAGAAUGCUCAGCACAUUCUAUGAAAACAACUCAGUGUCCCAGUGGGAUUGAGCCUUUGUUACCCACAGUGGUGAUCAGUUAGAUAACGCACCAUUGAAUUAUCUUCCCUCAUUCUCUAUUUCGCUCUUCCAAGACCCACACUCCUGUUCCUGGGAUUAAUUACAAACUGAACUGUGUGCACUCAGCCACUUAUCUCAGGCUGCUUUUGAGAAGGAACCCAGGCUAACGUAGGCAGAAAAGCGUAGAGCUUAUAUCUGGCCCUCAUUUCCUGGUCCUCAUGGGAGCGUACGAAGGAAGGAAGUAUUUGCUCCCCGUGGAACUGUCUCACACGAAGUUGGAGGCUGACAAGUCCCAAGAUCUGCAGUUGGCAAGUUGGAGGAACAAGAGACCCAAUGGUAUCGUUUCAGUCUGUGUUGAGGGCCCGAGACCCAGGAGAGCCGAUGGUGAAACCUUGGGAGUUGCUCAGGGCUUGGACACUCGGAGAGCAGUCAACCAUCGACUGACAGGAAGUCCACCUGUAACCAGCAGUAAGUUUCAGACAAGUUUGCUGUCUGAGAGCCAGCAGUUCCUGUCCCUGUGCUCAGACCAGAGAGUUCAUACUUAUGCGGACACUGCAGGGGCUCUGGGGACAGAGGAGCAAAAUUCAAAAACCAAAAAAAGCUUACUGAGAAAAGAAGGAUUGUUUUACAUUUGGAAAUCUCUUUAAUGUGUGACUUCAUAGAUGUCUGGAUUCUCCUGUUUCUGCAUUCAAUCUGUUGUGACACUCUACAGCAUGAAGCUUCUGGAAAACUCCAAUGUGUUUGUGAGAGAAUGAGAGUGAAAAUGGCAAAUGACAUUUUAAUAUUAUUAUGAAAGUAGUUUGGCCUCGUAUAGCUGUUACCACACAAAAUUGGGGUUCUCUGCCUGACGUGCAUGAAAAAACACAGUUAAUUAUGCUUUUGGGAAAAGAAAUCAGCUUCAUUCUGUGAGAUGGAUCUGCAGAGAGAACAGGGGGCAUGUGCCCUCAGAUCUGUCUCCUUGAUUCAGGAUUUGGGGUGAAAUUUGAGAGGUUAGGGAGAACAGGCUGGCACGUGGAAAUGCUGCUGGGGCAGGUUUUGUUCGGUGGGCUCCAAGGAUUUAUGGUAAGGUUUUAAACGUUUGUGACAGGUUCUAAACUUCUAUGAUGGGGUUCUAAACAUUUUUGACAAGGUGAGGAAGGAAUUUCAACACUGGAUCUUCCUGAAUGAGGGACCCCUCACUUCCAAUAAGAGUCUGACUUUCAAGUUCCAGUCAUGUCCUUCCUUGGGUUCUGUGGGAAGGAGAAUCUUGGGUUCUGGGGUCAUUUCAGGUCAAGAUUUCUCCUUUUGCACAUGCCCUGGCUACGUGACUUUGCCGAUUUUCUCAAAGGCAAUUCUUAAUUACUCUGUUGAUAAGAGAUGGAGUCUGUUGAAUUGGUCCUGGAGGGCCUGCGAUUGCAUAACUGCUGACAGGCUCUCAAGGUCUCUGAGGCAUCCAGGGCCUGCGCUUUGAGAAUUGAUGGUCUGGGUCCUUUCUGAGCUAAUUCUUUGAGCUAGCCCAGCGAGCAACGGGCGGCUGAGCACCUGCCCUCCCCCACCCCCUCAUCUCUUUUAGCCUUUCCCAAACAAUUCAUUCUUUUGAAUUAAGGCAUUAUUUUCUAUCAAAGUGCAAAUACCAGUGGGAGAGAUAACACAUUACGCUGUUACCAGCUGUCAAUUCCUUCGGGUGACCAAACCUAAUUCAUUUUAACUUGAGAGUCCAUGAGAACAGAAAAGAGAUGAAACAGAAAGAAGAAGGGCCAGAAAUUGGGUGUGGAAGGACCCCUCUCCCCAGCUCAGUGUCAACUUUUUCUAUUUCACAGCAGGGCCUAGGAGAAGCCUGGUUUCUGGAUACUUAGCUCACAGCUAUGACGAGAAGCCAUUCCCUAAUCUGUUUUAAUUGCUUAUUCUCAAGAGCUACCUGAGUUAUAGUACCCCUGUGGCCACUAACAUCCAAUUUCGGACUCAUUGAUCCAGGAAAUGGAAAGAGUUACAACUACUAAUAAAAAGCCAAUCAAAACAAAAGCCACUAAUUUCUGUGGAGAAGUAUUUUUAUCGAUAACCGUGCAGGAAGCUCUUUAUUAAUCUAUCUUCAUGGGGCUGGCCCCAUGGCCAAGUGGUUAAGUUUGCGUGCUCCAAUUUGGCGGCCCAAGGUUUCGGUGGUUUGGAUCCUGGGUGCAGACAUGUCAUCGCUCGUCAGGCCACGCUGGGGCAGCAUCCCAAAUGCCACAGCUAGAAAGACCCACAACUAAAAUAU